Molecule: ribosomal RNA, 253 nt
Filed under: uncultured bacterium
Lineage: Bacteria
Description: partial 16S ribosomal RNA
Rfam family: Bacterial small subunit ribosomal RNA
Source: RNAcentral
UACGUAGGGGGCAAGCGUUGUCCGGAUUUAUUGGGCGUAAAGAGCGUGUAGGCGGCCAGACAGGUCCGUUGUGAAAACUGGAGGCUUAACCUUCAGACGUCGAUGGUAACCGUCGGGCUAGAGUCCGGAAGAGGAGAGUGGAAUUCCUGGUGUAGCGGUGAAAUGCGCAGAUAUCAGGAAGAACACCCGUGGCUAAGGCGGCUCUCUAGUACGGUACUGACGCUGAGACGCGAAAGCGUGGGGAGCGAACAGG